GACGAACGCUGGCGGCGCGCCUAACACAUGCAAGUCGAACGGAGCUGAGAGAAGCUUGCUUUUCUUAGCUUAGUGGCGAACGGGUGAGUAACGCGUGAGUAACCUGCCCUGGAGUGGGGGACAACAGUUGGAAACGACUGCUAAUACCGCAUAAGCCCACGAUCCGGCAUCGGAUUGAGGGAAAAGGAUUUAUUCGCUUCAGGAUGGACUCGCGUCCAAUUAGCUAGUUGGUGAGGUAACGGCCCACCAAGGCAACGACUGGUAGCCGGACUGAGAGGUUGAACGGCCACAUUGGGACUUAGACACCGCCCAGACUCCUACGGGAGGCAGCAGUGGGGGAUAUUGCACAAUGGGGGAAACCCUGAUGCAGCGACGCCGCGUGGAGGAAGAAGGUUUUCGGAUUGUAAACUCCUGUCGUUAGGGACGAUAAUGACGGUACCUAACAAGAAAGCACCGGCUAACUACGUGC
RNAcentral lists this ribosomal RNA (469 nucleotides) under uncultured bacterium. RNAcentral's name for it is "partial 16S ribosomal RNA". It matches the Rfam family "Bacterial small subunit ribosomal RNA", at positions 28 to 508 of the family's 1533-position model. The record is from RNAcentral.